RNAcentral lists this ribosomal RNA (1431 nucleotides) under Triticum aestivum (bread wheat). Its description in RNAcentral is "partial small subunit ribosomal RNA". The record is from RNAcentral. Lineage: Eukaryota; Viridiplantae; Streptophyta; Magnoliopsida; Poales; Poaceae.
AUGAGAUACGCGGCUGAAAGAUCGCCCGCCGGCGUCCAGAAGCCCAACACAGGGAGGUUCAAUGUGUUGGUGCAUGUCGGCGGGGCCAUCUAUGUCGUGUACAAGCACAUAUACAUGGGCGGCGGUGACAGGGCCUUGCUUCCAUCAUCCAUCACCAUUCUCGCCGUCGGUGUUGCCAAGUAUGUGGAGAGGGUACUGGCGCUUUGGCAAGGCAACCUGGGCAACAUCCGGAGCUCAAGCAAGAAGAAGAAGAAGAAGAAGAGGCAACGAAGGAGAUACACCGAUGGCUCGGGCUCCGCAAGCGGAACGGUGCUGGACAAUGAGCAAGCCCUGAUGGUUGCCCACGACAUGUUCCCGUUCUGCCAGCGUGCAAUGACCGAUUCUUCUGUCAACAUGGAUUCAUCUGACCUUGAAGCAACCAAAGUCAUGUUCUCUUUUGGGUGGGAGAGUAUGUGCAAGGUGGUGGAGAUGGAGCUUUCUCUCAUGUACGACAUCCUCUACACCAAGGCAGCCAUGGUCCACACCUGGGUCGGCUACUCGAUCCGGCUUGGUUCACCGGUCGCCACCUUCACGGCGCUGGUUCUGUUUCUGCUGUACAGCAAAGACGGCCAGAGGAGAGCACUGAUGCAUGGCAGGAGCGCGGCUGCGGCACAUGCCAAGGCCAUCAAGGCGCUGUCCGAGUACCUGAUGUUCCUCGUCGCCGUGCGCCGGCACAUGCUACCGGGCCUUGUUCUUCGCAGCCUGUAUGAAGUGACCUUCGAUGCUUUGCAGGACAUUGGGCGCAAACAGGCCGUCAGCAGCCGUUCGACGACGACCGGCAGGGAGAGGGAGGGGAAGCUUGCAAGGACUCUGCGUGACAAGAUGGAUGCAGAUGGCGAGUGGGGUUUGGAUCAUGAUAAAACCCGUCUCGUCUCCGACGGAGCAAAUAUUGCCAUGGCGCUGCUAGAGGCCGAUGAGUCGGAGAUGCCGGAGGUGCUGGAGCUCGUCUUCAACGUGUGGGUGGACAAGCUGUUGUACGCGGGCACCCGAUGCAGCCGGGAAUCCCAUGCCAGGCAGCUCAGCCGAGGGGGUGAGCUCACGACCGUCGUCUGGAUUUUGGCACAACAUGUUGGCCCGUUUCAGAUCGGCCAAUGCGUUCCAGAUGAUAAGAAACGAGAUCUUCCUCCACCGUGCCCGCUUCCGGUACCCAAGGCCAUGGAGGAACCUUAUCCGCCACCGUUCAUGAUGUAUCUUCCGCCGUCGACCGCACCGUGGCUACCGUCGCCGCAAUACGUCGAACCACCCAAAAAGGAGGAACCUUGUCCGCCGCCGUUCAUGUAUCCUCCACCGUCGACUGCACCGUGGCCACCACUGCCGGAGAGUCCGCUGCCGCCACCACCGCCACCCAUGGAGAGGCGUAGACGGUAUGCUACGCUGUAUCCAGUGGACUGA